CUGAUGAGCGUCUGGCUACUGUAAGCUUCAAGCCAUGCUUCAUUGAUAAAAUUGUCAUCAUCCUAUACUCAACUGGAUGACCGGGAACCAAAGUGAAUGUGAAAAAUCUGCACAGAAUGGCCAGUACCAUCUUCAUUUGGAGUGUCGAAGGCCUGGGCAAACUGAUUAUCUGGUAGAUCUGGAGCCAGGGUUCCAAUCUCUACACCAAAUCCCACCUUACAUAUGGAGUCCAGAGUCAUCCUCAUCAGCAAUUCCUGCACCAAGAGAACAUAUUCAAGCUCUCUCCAUUUAUAUAAAAAUCAGGAUGGACAAACUUAUGUGGGGAGUCACCUGCAUGUCUACUUGUUGCCCUUGAAAAGAUGCUUGACUCAGAAUGCCAUGGAGCUUUAGGCUGUAAUCUCUGAAGACAACAGUGCUGAAGUCCCUCAAAUUCUUGGAUGCAAAUUCGAAGCUUGCAGUCUUUCUCUGUUUCCUCCAAACUUCUCCAUCUGAAUUGAAGAUUCCAUCUCCGAGCAGGACUUGCAUGUACGAUUGGUACACUUCACCCUUAAGUUAAUCAAAUGAGUACGAGAUUAAUAGAGAUUUGGAGAAAAACAACCAAACGCGACCAAUGUUAUGCCAAGACUGAGAUACUUACCUUUGGGUAAUUCGCAAAGUUGGUCUUGAGGACAUGUUCUACAUUAGCUGGAUCUGCAAUGUAAGUGUAAGUUGUGAACGGCAUUGGGACGACAACAGAGUUUGAUUCGGACAGGUACUUGACAAGCCAAUCAUGCAUUCUGUUAUAGUUCAUGAGUUGUUCAAUUGCUGCUCCUACUAACGGCCAUGUUUUGGGACCUUUUCUGUUCCUCUGGCUCCAUCUAUAGAUAAUGAUCCAUAACAAAACCGUGCAAGCUAGCAUCAACCAUCCCUUACUGCAUCCAUCUUCUGAAGAAGAAUCCCAUAAAAGAUAUCCCAUUUCCGGCGUAAAACACAGAGAAGGUAUAAGAGUGUGUGAUGAACUGCUGCACAGAUAAUGCAAUUCCGGGAUUGAUUUAUAUUACUGUGAAGUAGUUAAAUUUUAGCAUAGCUAGCUGGUUAAUUACUGGUGAGAGUUGUAUAUUAGUGACAACUAGUUAGCGCUAUGGUUUGUUAACAAUCUUGGUAUGCUCUAAGGUCAUUAAGGAUUAAAAUAGAGCUUCACCUC
This is a long non-coding RNA of Rosa rugosa (rugosa rose), 1183 nucleotides long. RefSeq lists it as uncharacterized. The record is from RefSeq and is a predicted model, not a curated record. NCBI's taxonomy places the organism in Eukaryota, Viridiplantae, Streptophyta, Magnoliopsida, Rosales, Rosaceae. The transcript is spliced from 2 exons.